Molecule: long non-coding RNA, 766 nt
Filed under: Anser brachyrhynchus (Pink-footed goose)
Lineage: Eukaryota; Metazoa; Chordata; Aves; Anseriformes; Anatidae
Description: lncRNA (ENSABRG00000014946.1)
Source: RNAcentral
UUUUAAUGCUAAGGGAAACAGAUAAAUGGCUAAGAAGUGGCUGCCUCUUUGAAGCCUUUCUAAUAUCAGGAGGCCCCAGAAGAUUGCAGGAGAGAAGAUCUGCAGGUGGAGAAAAAAUAGCCUUUGAUUACCCAAAUGAAUGAAUCUCAAGACAGAGGCCUGCACCUGUCUCAACUGAAGUUCAACACAAGUAAGAUACAACGCCCUUAAAGAGAAGAACAGCGUUUUGAAACUCUAGGAUCAAAAGAAAACAAAAGUUGGUUCAUUUGUGAUUCCUCAGUGACAAAAUACUUCCAGAAUUUUAGGCACUGUUAAACUGAGUUCUACAUGAGCACCAUGUGCUACCAAUUUACUUCAAUUGUCUCCAUUGCUAAGGACUGAUGCAGCUGGCUGGUUUGAUCCAAAUGGCGAUGAUUAAGAUCCUGAAGUCAAUUAAAUUUUUUUCCACUGAUUUCAACAGACCUUGGAUAAGGUCUUGAUGGUUUAUGAAUUAAAAGAAACAUACUGAAAGCAACUUUUUCCAACAUAUUGGGGAAGAGGGGAGGGAAGAGGGAAAGAGAGGGGAGGAAAACAACCUCUUAUUUACGAGUGUUAAAAGAUGAACUUCAGAAACAUUCCUGGCUUCUCUGAGUUUUUGUCAGAACAUUUUAAUGUAUGUGCUUGAAAAUGUUACAGUCAAAAAAUACUAUUGCUUGACUCUAUCAAGAUUUCUUCUGAGUUCUUGUCAAUUUUGAUAAGCUCUUUUUUGACAUAUUCUCAGUUGACA